This 495-nucleotide ribosomal RNA is filed under the name uncultured bacterium. RNAcentral's name for it is "partial 16S ribosomal RNA". It matches the Rfam family "Bacterial small subunit ribosomal RNA", at positions 28 to 507 of the family's 1533-position model. The record is from RNAcentral.
GAUGAACGCUGGCGGCGUGCCUAAUACAUGCAAGUAGAACGCUGAAGGAGGAGCUUUCUCUUCUGGAUGAGUUGCGAACGGGUGAGUAACGCGUAUGUAUCCUGCCUUGUAUCGUGGUAUAACUAUUCGUAACGAUAGCUAUUACCCCAUGACAACAGUUAUUGCAUGAUAACUGUUUAAAAUUGGCAACUUCUCCACUACCAGAUGGUCCUGCGUUGUAUUAGCUUGUUGGUGUGGUAAAGGCUCACCAAGGCGACGAUACAUAGCCGACCUGAGAGGGUGAGAGGGGACAAUGGGACUGAGACAAGGGAAAGAAGCCUAAGGGAGGGAGCAGUAGGGAAAGGUGGGAAAUGGAGGGAAGUCAGAACGAGAAACGACGCGGGAGGGAAGAAGGGUUUCGGAUCGGGAAGAUCAGUUGUAAGAGAAGAAAGAGUGUGAGAGUGGAAAGUUCACAGUGUGACGGUAGCUUAACAGAAAGGGACGGCUAACUACGUG